This 32438-nucleotide long non-coding RNA is filed under the name Coffea arabica (coffee). Its description in RNAcentral is "long non-coding RNA (CARA_LNC004450)". Lineage: Eukaryota; Viridiplantae; Streptophyta; Magnoliopsida; Gentianales; Rubiaceae. The record is from RNAcentral.
CUGUUAAGAAUAUUGUCAGCCAAGUGGCAAAGCGAACUCUGACAAUGGGUGCUAAUGGAGAACUGCAUCCUUCACGGUUUUGUGAGAAGGAUUUGCUCAGAGUGGUGGACCGCGAAUACGCCUUUGCCUAUGUGGAUGACCCUUGCAGCGCUACCUAUCCAUUAAUGCAAAAGUUAAGGCAAGUGCUCGUGGAUCAUGCGUUGAAGAAUGGUGAUCAGGAGAAGAACGUCAACACCUCCAUCUUCCAAAAGAUUGCUGCAUUUGAAGAUGAACUGAAGGCUGUCCUACCAAAAGAAGUGGAGAGUGCCAGAAGCGCUGUGGAGAGUGGAAAUCCAGCAAUCCCUAAUCGGAUAAGGGAGUGCAGAUCUUACCCAUUGUACAAGUUCGUUCGAGAAGUGUUGGGGACAGGACUGCUGACUGGAGAGAAAGCUCAGUCACCUGGUGAGGUGUUCGACCAGGUGUUCACAGCAAUGAGCAAGGGGCAGAUUGUAGAUCCUUUGUUGGAAUGUCUCCAAGAAUGGAAUGGUGCUCCUCUCCCAAUCUGUUGAUUUACUUUCAUCCAUUCAAACAUUUGUUUAUCAAAUCCUUCAAUGUAAUUUAUAUGUAUUUUAAAUUCAAUGAUAUGUCAGUAACACCCAUGUAUUGCUCAAGGUUUCUUAAAAUGUGAACAAAAAUUUCAACAUCGUCCCUGUUCUCCAUUUAAUGAGUUGAUUGAUUUUCGGCUAGCUGAUUGCCAAUGAAGGCAAUCCUACAUUACAUCCAUUUUCUGAGAGAGCUGUGAACGAAGGUGGCCAGACUACUAAUUUAGUAGUUUUAGAACCAUGCUUAAUACAGUUAAAACUAUAUUAAGGAUGGUUAGUAGCUAAGAAAUUGCAAAAUCAGGCAUGCAAUUACAGUACCUUUUUCAGACUGAUUACGAGACUGGCUGCUAUUACUUGAGGAUGUAAAAUAGCUUGCAGCUUUCUUGUUGAAGCGUUUGAAGAUGCAAAAUUGAAAGCUUAGACCCAUACCCUCCUCAUCUUGGUUCAAAGGCGUGAUCACGUGGAAACUAUUUUGAUCCCAACUUUAUUAGCUUUCCGGUACAUAAUACUGAAAGCCUAAAAACCACCGGAGGAGGAACCACUGAACUGUCAUUUGGUCUCUGGAAAGGCACCGAAACGAGAGGCUUUAAACGCGGCGUUUUUUAUACUCCCUCCGUCCCACUUUGAUAGUCCUAUUUUCCUUUUUCGUCUGUCCCAAAUUAUAGUCCACUUUCCAAUUGAAAAAUGUAGUUAUAUUUUAAUUUUCCUAAAAUACCUUUAUUCAAUGUAAGUUAUUGUUACUAUAAACUUACCACGUUUAAUGCAUUUAGAUUUUCCAAACUUAUUUAUAUCAGGAGGGAAACAAACUAUGUCAUCAUUAGCUACAAACCAUGAGUGAACAUUUUCAAAACUAUCCAUAUUUCCACAAUUUUUCUAACGAAAUUCCAACAAAAGAAUAUGAUUUCAAAUUCUCAUAAAGUUGUACUCUAAUUAAUGUGAAAGUAUUUUAGAAAAAUAGCUACCUAAAUUGAUUGUUGCAACAAAGUUAACUACUUUUUCUUAAAUUGAGUGAAAAAAAAAAUCAAGACUAUCAAAGUGGGACGGAGGGAGUAUUAUUUAUGGCUCCAAUCUCUGGAAAUUGUAAACCAACUACUGACCAAAAAAUAAAGGAUUCUGUACAAAUUGUUAACCAAAAGUUGACCUCAAAAAAAAAAUUCUAGUAUCAAUUGUUAUAAAACUAGUUAUAAAACUCGGUCAAUUGUUAUUUGUUCGCUUAGAAUUUUUUUUUUAGAAGAAAAAGAGUUUUCAUUGCUUUAAGUCGACUACAGCAGCGUACAGGACUUCCUUCGGAAAAUUUGCAAACGAAAUAUAACUCCCCUCAAUGGAUAAAGAUUAACUUAAGACAUGAGAUGAGCAGGGACGUUAUUAUUGCUCUUUAUAUGGGACACCUUUACAUACUCAAAUUCCAAAAUGAAUGGAAGACACCAAAAUUCUUAGCAAACUGUAAACGCUUUUAGGAAGGUUAAAGCAUUCCACCUACCCAGGAUUGAGAGCUCGGGGAAUCUCCUCAACCAUUGUUGCCUGAGCCUCUACUUGUUCCCAUUGGUUCCUUACUACAAAACAUAUUCCAAUUACAGCUUCGAAAAAUGUACCAUACAUAUUGAUCUUGUCAAUGCUCUCCUCAUGCGCUAACCAUCUGUUAUGCCUUCAAUCUUCCUGACCUUCUCUCUGCCACGUAGAUUCCAAUACCACCUCUGCUUAUGCACUAAUUUGUGCUGCUGGUUCCUCGGCUUUUUCUUCAAAGGUCCUCUCAAUUCUGCAUUUCCAGAUAAGCCAUGUGAUUACUGCUGCUAAUUCUGCUAACUGCUCCCCCCUUUGAGUAGAGUAUGUAGGCAAACCACUCCUUGAAACUGGACACAGAUGAGAUGUUUGCAAUCUGCUUACCUUCUACACCCUUCCAUGCUCCCUGGCCAAAUUCGCAAUCAAAGAAAUGUGUUUUAUCAUUCAUUCACACCGAUUGCAUCUUGUCACUGCUCUUUGAAGAGGUGAAUUCUGUACCGCUGGAGUAAACCUUCUGAGUACUCUGGGUGGUCCACUGGGACGAGGUCACCUGCUCAAGUUACUAGAGGGGCUGAAUCCCCCGGUAGAACUCCGAAGCUUAAGUCAGUUCGGGAAUGAGAGAAUAUGUGAAUUGAAGAGAGUAUCAGUAUGUCUUUACCAGAUAAUUGGUCAUCAUCCCCCUUCUCAGUGGAUACCCAGGGGUAUUUAUAGGGGAUUUGUUAGGAAGAGGGACUGGCAUCACGGGUCCCUAAAGAUCUGAGACGGUCAGUGCAUCUGGUGGAUUGGACAGCUCUUUACGAAAAGGUUCGAUGGGACAUCCGCCAGUUUCAGGCGGCGUGUGUCAGAGUAGCUGUCCAUCAGAUGUCAAGCGUAUCAACUGUCAGUUCCCAUCUUUCGUAGGCGUCCAUCAAUCAGGUGUCACCUCGGCUAAUGACCUGAAGACUUAGGCCGAAGUGGUACACAGGCUUUGACGUCCUCGAUGAGCAAGGUGCCGAGGUGGGACCUCGGGAGGAAUCAGAGUACGAGGCUCGGGUUAUCCGAGCCGAAAUGACCAUCCUCACUAAGCCCCCCAAGCUUCGAGAAGGGCGAGGUCGUGGUUUCCCGAGGUUGUUCCUUCCCGAAGCUGACGAGCGUGUAAACACGCAACAGUAAGGGCACGUCAUCUAUAUGGAUGGGACUAAUAGAAAGGUGAAACGAUGGCUGUCAGUUUUGACGUCGGAUCCGUAAAAUCAGCCGUCAGAUGAACAGCAUCUUCAUUAAUGAGGAGAGAGAGUGGGCGCUCUAGGGAAUCCCAAAGGUGCCGUCUCUUCGGUUUCCCCCAAUUGCCUAUAAAUAGGGGCCCUUUUUACCGUUUCAUUUUUCAGCAAAAAUUGUAAAUCACCUCAGAGCUCUGUUCCUGCGCUUCUUCACUUCGGCAAUUUUCCAAACAGCUUCAAAGUAAGUCCACUUCAUUCUUCUUUGUAGUAAUGGCCAGAACGGGCCGCACACACAAGGAAACGGUGAGGCCUGACUUUACCGAGGCAGAGAGGCCUGACCCCACCGAGGAGAGAACUGCUGACGUCGGGGAUGGGGGUGCCGAGGCGUCUCACCAAGCCGGGGCAGUUCAAGGGCAGCAGGAUGCCGAGGCGGAGCAGCAAGAGGAAAUCGAGGUCGAACCCGAGAUCCUGUAUAAUGAUGACCUCGGUAAUGAGGUCCCUAAGGACGCAGGCGUACAAGAACCAUCCACCCUUCCAAACGUGUCGACGCUCAACUACGGACAGAUGCCUGCCUUCCGCAGUAUCAUGGGGCGAGACUCUGUCGCCGAGGUGGUCCGCAGGUAUCCCUGGAGGAAGGACUACAGCAUUUAUAUACCCGAGCCACACCAGUCUGCUGCACUGCCCCCGAAGGGUAGGGUGGCCAUCUAUGUAGAACAGCUGGAGGCCGGGCUCAGGGUGCCCACGACAAGAUUCCUCCGAGACUGCCUGAGGUACUGGGGAGUGAGAAUCACUCAGCUCACCCCAGAUGCCAUUCGCGUCCUCGUCGGCUUCCAGCUGCUUUGCCGACAUCAAGAGAUAGAGCCCACUGUCAAUCUCUUCCGCCGUUGCUACUCGCUCAAAAACAGCGGGAGUGAAAAGGGCUGGUUCUACUUCGGGAACAAAGUUCCCAAAUUAGUAGUGGACGCUCCGAGCUCAAUAAAGGAGUGAAAAAGAAAUUUCUUUUUCAUCCCGGCCGAGGACUUCCCCAGGGGGUUCUGGUGGAGGCCUCCCACCCCGGUUAAAGAGACGUCUCCAGGCAAAUUGGAAGAGCGCAACCUCCAAAAGUUGACGGGGUCGGGCCUCAGAAUUAACUGCUGGGAUUUUCCCGAAGUGGUACUCGUGAAAGGCGGCCUCAGCCGAGCCUUGAUCAGCUCGAAUCACCCCGUCCUCCUUUCGACUAGGCUGAAAAGACCUUGUACUUUUACAUUUCCCUUCUUUAUAUAUUCAUGUUGAGUUCUAACUAACUCUCUCACUUACUGCAGUGACAAAGAUUUCCGACCUGAUAACCUCGGGAGAUGUCGAGGUAGCAAAGAGGGCACCCAAGAAGCGCAAGGAUGCGGCUGAGCCCUCUACCAGGCCAAGUAAGAAGACCACCACGGCAACGCAGAAGUCCACCGCGGCAAUGAGCAGCCGCGAGCCUGCCGUGAUGAUUGUAGGUGAAGGCUCACACAUCUCGGCCACGCCUGGGAAGUCCAAGGCCUCUGCCAUCCCGGUAGGGAUUCCUAUCCGAGGUGUGACGAUAGCCAAUCCACCUCGAGGUCAAGGCGUGACCGUGAUCCCGGAGAAACCUGUCACGGGGUCAUCACUGUUCAACCUCCAUCACGUACCCUCGAAGGAGGCCGGGGAUGACAAGAGGCACCCCGGGGCGCACUGGUGCCCGGAGUGGGACAUCAAUGUCAACGACCGCUGCAAAAAUCCUUUGGUCGCACACGAGCUUCUGGUGCACUCCGUGCUGCCUAGGGAUAAUACCUAUGCGAGGAAGCUCACUCCUGCCGAGCUGAUGCAGAGCGCCUCGGUCUCCUGGGCCUCUACCUCGGCUUUCUUUGCCGAGAUGCUCCAGCGUUAUGGACAUUUCAUGCAGACUUACGAGCCACCCGCCGAGCUUCAGAAAAGGAUCACCGAUCUGGAAGAGAAGCUAAGGGCCACUGAGCUGGAGCGAGACAAGGCCGAGAAGGGAAGGAAGAAGGCCGAAGUCGCCAACAACUCCCUGAUCACUGCCCUUGAUGAAGAGAAAGGAAGAAGGGCCCAGGAAGAGCAGUCGAACAAAGAGGCUAUGGACAAAGCCGGAGUCACUGCUGUGGAGGCCUUCCGGAAGUCGGAGUCCUUCACUCGCGACCUCGGCGAACUCACACGCCCAUCCUUUAUGCUUGGCUACACUUCGGCUGUCAAUGAUGCAAUGCCCUUUAUCUCUUUUGAGCAGCUGGAGUCCCUUCAAAGCGCUUCUCACUACAAUGAAGAUGCCAAGGAGCUGUGCGACCGUAUGGCCGCAGGCAUCCAGGCCGGGAGAGACUUAGCCGAGAUUCGAGCUGAGUUCAACAAAUGGCUCCAGGAAUUUGAACUAGAUGGCGAGGGUAGUGAAGGGGGUCAGUCCGGCGACAGGGCUAGUGGGCACCAGGAUGCCGAGGCAGGUGGAGCCGAAGCGGGUGGAGCCGAAGCGGGUGGAGAAACCAUAGGGGAGCAAGGCUCCGGGGCAGGGAAUGCUUAGAAACAUCCCUUUUUUGUUUUUGUAGGCCGAGGUCAUAGAUGACCUCACAGGGAAUGCUUAGAAGCACCCCUUUUUUGUACUUGUAGGCGUGACCUCGGUCUUCUACUUUUUAUCUGCUUCAAUUCAAUAGACUUCCAUGUUUUUGCAAUCUUCAUACUUCAGUUCAGUUUUGUUUUCUUUACUGCUGCUUUGUCCCCUUAUUUUUCACUUAUAACGAAACAAGAAGAAGUGAAAAAUAACUCAAGACUUAAAAUUAAAAACACGUACCCCUCAAGGGUAAUACAGUUUAAGAUUUUCGGCAUGCCAAGUUCGGGGCACCCGAGACCCAUCUCGGUACGCUAAUUUACAGUAUCCAUUUUGGCUGGAUUCGACAACGCGAUAGGGUCCCUCCCACUUAGGAUUCAGUUUGCCCUGAGGUUCAGCUCGGCUGACCGAGUUCUUCCGGAGCACGAGGUCUCCUGGGGUGAACCGUAGGUGUUUGACCCGAGUAUUGUAGUAACCAGCUAGGAUAUUUUUGUAGAUAGCAACUUUGGCCGCGGCCAUAUCACGUUUCUCCUCGGCGAGGUCGAGGUCAACCCGCCGUUCCUCUCCGUUGACUUCGGCAGCAUACGCGGCCAUCCGUGGGCUCGGCGUUAUGAACUCGGCUGGGACCACAGCUUCUGACCCAUACGUCAAAGAGAACGGGGUCUCUUGGGUUGCCGACCUCGGGGUGGUCCUGUAAGACCACAGGACGCUGGGGAGUUCUUCUACCCAUGACGAUCCAGCUCGGUGUAAUCUGGUUUUGAGGCAGUGGAGGAGAGUGCGGUUAAAAUUUUCGGCCUGUCCAUUGGCCUGAGGGUGUCCUACGGAGGUAAAAUGUUGUUUGAUUCCCAGGUUUUGACACCAUAUCUUGAAAGGGUUGUCAGCAAACUGUCUUCCAUUAUCCGAGAUGACCACCCGGGGUAGGCCGAAGCGGCAAACGACGCUCUUCCAGAAGAAUUUUUGAACUGCUGAUCCAGUGAUGCUCCUUAAAGGCUCAGCCUCAACCCAUUUGGUGAAGUAGUCUACCGCCACCACCGCGUAUGCAAAAUUGCCUUGGGCCCUGGGAAAUGGUCCGAUUAUAUCAGUCCCCCACUGUUCGAAUGGGCAUGGCGAAGUGAUGGGGAUCAUAAGAUUGGUUGGCUGGUGAUGCUCUGGGGCAUGAUGCUGACAAGAAGGACAGCUAAGGACCAUGACCUGGGCAUCCACCCUCAUGGUAGGCCAGAAAUAUCCGAGCAGCAAAGCUUUUUUAACGAGCAUCCUGUAGCCGACGUGAGCACCACAAAGUCCUUCAUGAAUGUCUUGCAGGAUCUUCUCCCCUUCUUCCGGAGUGAUACAUCGCAGCCAUGGGCCGAGGUAUGACCUCUUGUACAGGAGAUCGUCCCGAAGAGCGUACCGAGCUGUUUUUCGUUGCAGUUUCCGGGACUCGGCUCGGUCUUCAGGAAGUUCACCCCGGCUGAGAAAUCGGAAUAGCGGUCCCAUCCAGGUGUCCCCUGGAUAAAUGGGACAUACAACUUCCCCCACAUAUCCUGGCUCGGCCAAGACCUUCACAAGAACUGUCUUGUUCAGGUCAGAGAAGGAGGUAGAAGCGAGCCGAGAGAGGGCAUCUGCCCUCCUGUUCUGUGACCGCGGUAUUCUUUGGAUUUCAAAGGAUUCGAAGUAUGCCACCAGCUGGAGGACUUUGGAGAGGUAGCGAUGCAUCACCUCUUUCCUAGUCUCGUAUUCGCCUAGUAUUUGGCACACAACGAGUUGGGAGUCACUAUAGGCCAAGAUGUGCGCGGCCCCUAGCUUACGAGCUAGUUGCAGGCCGGCAAUAACAGCUUCGUACUCAGCCUCAUUGUUGGAAGCGGCGAAGUCAAAUCUCAAAGCGUAUGAACAUAUUUCUCCUUGGGGGUCUUCGAGGAGCAAACCUGCUCCACUAUCCCCACUGUUAGACGAGCCAUCCACAUGUAGAAUCCAUCGCUGAGGCUCGGCAGUAGGAGAAGUGUUAGCCGAGGUACUGUCCUUCACCUCAUCAAAGGUGAACUCGGCUAGAAAGUCUGCGAGGGCCUGAGCCUUGAUUGUUGUACGAGACUCGUAAGACAAGUCAUACUCCCCCAGCUCAAUAGCCCACUUGGUGAGGCGUCCAGAGGCCUCUGGCUGUGAUAAGAUUUGCCGAAGUGGUUGGUCAGUUCUUAGGCAAAUGUGGUGGGCUAAAAAGUAGGGCUUAAGCCUACGAGCUGCAUGGAUUAAGGCCAGCACGAGCUUCUCCGCCCGGGUGUAUCUGGUCUCCGGACCUCGGAGGACUCGGCUGACAUAAUAGAUGGGCAUCUGUACACCUUCCUCCCUUAUCAACACGGCACACACAGCUUCGGCUGCAGCAGAUAAGUACAAGAACAACUUGUCCCCUGGACGAGGUGAGGUGAGUGUUGGGAGGUGGUGAAGGUAUUCUUUCAAUUGUUCAAAGGCCUGUUGACAUUCCUCGGUCCAAGAGAAACUGUCCGCCUUUUUUAGAACCUUGAAAAAUGGCAACGCCUUGGAAGCUGAUUGCGAUAGGAACCGAUUUAGGGCGGCCAACCGCCCUGUCAGUCUCUGGACAUCACGGAUGCACCGAGGUGAAGACAUUUCUUGAAUGGCUUUCACCUUGUCUGGGUUUGCUUCGAUACCCCGUCUCGAGACGAGGUAACCCAGAAAUUUUCACGAAGUGACACCGAAGACGCAUUUCUUGGGGUUCAGCAUCAUCCGCGUCUUCCUUAGGACCUCAAAGACUUCUCUCAGGUCAGAGAGGAAGGAAGAGGUCGUCUGGCUUUUGAGGAGAAUGUCGUCCACGUAGGCUUCGACAUUUCGCCCGAUCUGAGAUUUGAAGGCUUGGUUAACCAAGCGUUGGUACGUGGCCCCGGCAUUCUUUAGUCCAAAAGGCAUGGUGGUGUAGCAAUAGGUGCCUCGGUCAGUGUAAAAGGCAGUCUUCUCCUGGUCCUCUGGACUCAUGCCUAUCUGGUGGUACCCCUUAAAGGCGUCAAGAAAGCAGAGGACCUCGUAGCCCAUUGCUGAAUCCACCAAGGUGUCGACUUUGGGCAGUGGGUAGCAGUCCUUGGGACAAGCUUUAUUGAGGUCGGUGAAGUCGACGCACAUCCUCCAAGCCCCGGUGUCUUUCUUGACCAUGACCGGGUUGGAUAACCAUGUUGGGUAUUGGACUUCUCGGAUUAUUUUUGCAGGCAAGAGCUUGUCCACCUCUUCUCCGACAGCCCGGUUUCGCUCUGGGCCGAGGUGCCUCCUUUUUUGUUUGACAGGGCGUGCCUGUGGGUCAACAUUGAGCUCGUGUAUCAUGAGGUGAUGCGGAACUCCUUGGACCUCUUCUGCGGCCCAAGCAAAGACGUCCCGGUAUUCUCGGAGGAGGUUCACCAUUCCUUUCUUAACUGAGUUGGGCAAACAGGUGCCGACACGGAUCGUUUGGUCCGGAUUUAUGGGGUUCAGGGGAAUCUCCUCCACCUCAUCUCCGGCUUCCAGCCUUUGGAGCUUCACCGUUUGCUGAGGAUCGAUGCAAUCAAUCGAGAGAAUGUCUGACCUCUUUUCAGACCUCGCAUUGGAGGUGUAUGGGGAGGCUGCUUGUAGAGUGACGAGGUAACACUCCCGGGCUGCACAAACGUCGCUGCUGACCUCGGCAACCCCCGCGGGAGUAGGGAACUUAAAGCUCAGGUGAUAAGUGGAAUAUACCCCCUGCAGAGCAUUAAGCGUGGGCCGACCUAAGAGAAGGUUGUAUGGGGAGUUGGCCCUUACCACGGCGAAGUUGACCGGAAUGGUCCGGCAUCGGGGGUGGCACCCCACGGUUACCGUCAGGGUCACCAUUCCUUCGGGAUGCACAACAUGUCCCCCGAAUCCUAUAAGAGGAGUCCUUACCGGGGUCAUACUUUCCCUAGCCAGUUUGAGGUUAUCAAACGUGCGAAGGUACAUGACAUCCACUGAACUCCCUGGGUCAAUGUAGACCUUCUUCACGAUAUAGUUAUUGGUGAGCACUUCAAUCACCAAAGUUUCGUGACUGCUCGAAGCAGCUGGGACGGGGUCGCUAGACCCGUAAGUAAUCACUUCAGACAGGCGGGAGCUGGACUCGGCCUGAUCCGGGUUAGCUUGCCUGUAGGUCCUCUUUCGGGAGUUUUGACUGUCUCCUCCCGUCGGACCUCCGGCAAGGGUAUUGAUGACCCCGGCUAUAUUGGGUCCGUACCCUAAUCCUUGUCCUGAGGAUCCGUCUCGGGGAGGUCUUUUUGUCUCCCUAGGAUCCUCUGGAGGCCUGCAACUGCUCCUGGAGGGCCGCACUUCGUCUCGGCGUUGAUCACCCUGGUUAUCCCGUCGGGGUUCGUUACGUUGCUGACCUCCAGCUCGGCGGAUGAACUGCUUCAAGUGCCCCUGUCUAAUGAGAUUCUCGAUCUCCUUCUUGAGAUCGUUGCAGUCCUCAGUUUCGUGCCCAAUAUCUCGGUGAUACAGAUAGUAGAGGUUCGAGUUCCUUUUAUCCCGGCUGCCGAACAUCUUGGGAGGUGCCUUUCCAAGAUUGUUUUGUUCCAUCACGGACAGCACCCGAGACCGACUAGUGUUCAAAGGAGUCAGCUCGGACUCAGGGAUAGGUGACCUCCCCUUGGAUAUCCUGUCGAACACACUACGACGAUCUCGGCCAGGGCCUUGGAAGCCACUUCCUGUCCCCACCUCAGUUCGGCCAAGCUCUUUUCCCUUUCGGGGGUCGGCUUUCGGGCGUGCUGCUUGAACCUCCUUUUUCAUGCGGUUGAGGUUUUCGGCUUGUAUGCCCUUCUCAACCUUUAACCACAGCUCGUGGAGGGUGCGGGGAUAUUUCUUGUGAAUCCCCGUGUUGAACACCCCGGAAACGAGCCCAUGGGUGAAAGCGGCAAUGGUAACCUGCUCAUUAGGAUCAGGUAUCUGCACGCUUUCUUCAUGAAACCUCUGAACAUACGACCGAAGUGACUCACCCGGGUUCUGCUGCAUGUUCAGCAGGUAAGCCGAGGUUCGGGUCGUAGGUCGGGAUGAAAUGAACCUAUGGAGAAAUCUUUCCACCAGUCCUCCCAGGGUUGAGAUGCUCCUAGGUUCUAAUCCCCAGAACCAUUUUCGAGCUGUCCCCUGGAGGAAUACUGGGAAGGCUCGGCAUACGACGGGGUCAGGGAUGCAAUAUAAGCGGAAGGCCGAGAUGAAGGCAUGGAUAUGAUCCUCGGGAUCAUCUCGACCGUCAUAAGACGGUAUCGAGGGAAGCUUGAAGUUUGGAGGAAACCUUUCUUCGUUAAUGUCGUCAGUGAAGGGCGGGGCCCUCAUAUAAUUCACCCCGGGUAUUCCCAGGGGUCGAGAUUCCUCCUCAGGUCGUCGCCCUAGGAGUUCUCGAGAAAAUGCCUUGGUCAUGGAAGCUACCUUAGAAGUGGCCUUAGAAAAUGCCCGCUUCAAAGCACUUCGGCUGAGGCGUCUCCCAUCAGAUUCCUCGUCGGAUGAACCUUCAGGGGAUCCCUCUGACUUCCUUUUGGAGGACUCAGCUUUCUGCUUGCCCUGCCUUUUUAGGUACCUCCCCAACUCCUUAAAGAUGUUGGGGUUCUCGGUUACAAACUCGGCCAUACGUGUUAUGGCCUCUUCGUUUGCUGGCUGGGUCCUUGGGGACUCCUGCCCUUCUGAAAUAUCUUCCUGUUGGGCUGCAUUGCUUUGCUCAGUACCAAUGGUGAGAGCUUUUCUGCUCUUAGAACGCGUAGGCUUCAUACUUUGGUAUCUUUACGUUUCCCACAGACGGCGCCAAUUGAAGAGGUGAAUUCUGUACCGCUGGAGUAAACCUUCUGAGUACUCUGGGUGGUCCACUGGGACGAGGUCACCUGCUCAAGUUACUAGAGGGGCUGAAUCCCCCGGUAGAACUCCAAAACUUAAGUCAGUUCGGAAAUGAGAGAAUAUGUGAAUUGAAGAGAGUAUCAGUAUGUCUUUACCAGAUAAUUGGUCAUCAUCCCCCUUCUUAGUGGAUACCCAGGGGUAUUUAUAGGGGAUUUGUUAGGAAGAGGGACUGGCAUCACGGGUCCCUAAAGAUCUGAGACGGUCAGUGCAUCUGGUGGAUUGGACGGCUCUUUACGAAAAGGUUCGAUGGGACAUCCGCCAGUUUCAGGCGGCGUGUGUCAGAGUAGCUGUCCAUCAGAUGUCAAGCGUAUCAAGUGUCAGUUCCCAUCUUUCGUAGGCGUCCAUCAAUCAGGUGUCACCUCGGCUAAUGUCCUGAAGACUUAGGCCGAAGUGGUACACAGGCUUUCACGUCCUCGAUGAGCAAGGUGCCGAGGUGGGACCUCGGGAGGAAUCAGAGUACGAGGCUCGGGUUAUCCGAGCCGAAAUGACCAUCCUCACUCUUCCCAAUCGAGCUUGAAGAUUUGUCCAGUAGGCAGUAUUCCAGAGGAUGCCCUCUGAAGAGAUGAAUUCUCGGUGAAUGAGCCGAGGUCACCAAGAGACGAGAUCACCUGCAAAAUUUCAAGUGACCAGGGGCUUUGUUCUCUGGUCUCACUCCGAUGCUAAAGUCAGAGAGAGUUCGGGAGUUGAAUAUACGAGUUAGAUUGCGCACCUCAUUUGGAAGUGAUAGAUGAGUAUUUAUAGUGGAUGCGCCUAUGGAUGGAAUGAUAAGGUCUACCCGCUGUCAACCAUCAUGAGGCGGUUUAGGGUGGCAGUGUCAGGUGUAAGUCUGAUUAUUAAGUUGGCUGAUAGUCACAUCACUCCAUUAGUCACAAAUCACUUCAAAUAACCAAAAUGUGAGUUGUCUUGGGCAAAUGAAUAGACGAGAUGAAACAUAUCUCCAAGGUGAUCUCAUAAAUCACCUCGUUGAAAAAUACUCCGAACGAGAUAUCCCCAGUGGAAAGAGAAUGAACGGGACUGAUCAAGCUCGAGUAGGCCGAGGUGUCUACACCCUCCAUACAAAAAUUCUUAUCUUUGAGGAAAUAUUUAAGCGCCAAUUUACCAUAACUCAUUCCAAAAGUUCUUCGCUUUACUAUUUGAAUAAGAUUCUUCUCCUCCCCCUUCCAGCUUUCCCACCCUCCUUGCCAAGUAAUCUACUGACCUCAAAAUUUCCACUCUAUGUAUAAAGCCACACCACCUCAUCUUUCGGCCAUGAUAGGAGAAUUUUUAACAGAUGAUCCAUUUCAUAGUUACGCGAAAGAGCCUUUCGAGAAUGCAAUUUCCAACAGGCAAAAGUAUGAGGUGGAAAUACUUAAAAUAUAGGAAUACAGAAAUAAAAUUAGAGUAAACUAGUAGGGCUAGAAUAGUUUUUCGUAGCUAAACAUUCCUACUUUUGUAAUGGAACCAACUUCAUCCGUGUAUUCUUGAAAGGACCUAAAUUAUCAUCAAAAGAUUCUUUAGAACUCUUCCAUGCACUAAAUUAAUGUUCAAAUCUUGUCCAUCACAUCACAAUGAAAUAUAAUAUAGUGCACUUAUUUGAUUUGAUGAUUCAAACCUCAAGUCCAUACAACCCUCUUUGGUUUCUGUAAGUUAGUAUAGUAGUACAUUUGUUUUGUUUUGUUUGGUGUUUCACUCAAAAUCCUCAUGCAAGCCUCUUUUCCCACAACAGAUCUUCUGUCCCACACUCUGUGCCAUUCUCUGUCCCACUUUUUAUUAUAUUGCUAUUUCUCCUUCAUAAACAUCAUGUUUUAGUUCUUUUUUGUUUAUUUAUGAUUCAAUAACUAUUAAUUCAGUAAAAAAUAAAUACAACAGUUUCAAAAAAGUAAUAUAUAAUAUAAAAUUAAAAAAUACAGCAAAAAAUGCAUAAAAAAUCUCAUUUUUUAUGCAUUUUGAUUUUUUGAGUUUGUUAAAUUUUGUGUAUUACUGAAUUAAUAGUUAUUGGAUCUUAAGAAAAUAAAAAAGAACUAAAACAUGAUAUUUAUAAAGGAGAAAUAGCAAUAUAAUAAAAAGUGGGACAAAAAAUGACACAGAAUGUGGGACAGAAGAUCCGUUGCGCUCUUGUCCACAUAUUAUUGAUUAGUAUAUGAGUAUUAUAGACUGUUGCUAUUACCACAAAAAAAAAACUUCAUAGGAUUAUUUGGCAACGUUUGGUUGACUCACAUAAACCAGUUGGCUCAGUCCAAUGGCACAUUCAAUUCCACCAUUUUCGUCUUUUCCUUUUUCUUUUACAAAAUUCCACGUAAAAAAAAAAAUUUAAGAGACGAUCAGAAAAGGAAAGAGAGGACCAGCACCGGAAAUUGGCAAAGAAGUAUGGCUUCCCAGAUCGUUGGACGGCUCCUUCGAAGCACCACCCGCCAUAACCCUAUCAUCCCUAAAUCUAGCAGCUUCUUCCAUCGCAAUAUCUCCGUCGACUCUACCUCUGAGUCCAAUCUCAUUCGUGCCACUCUUUUCCCCGACGAUGGCAUCGACCCCGAAAUUGCCGAGUCCUUGAAAGAGGUAGUAGUCUUCCUUCCUCACUUCAAUCUGUCUCUCUGCGUUUAUUCCCCUGUAUAAUUAUAUCUUCUUAUUUGUGCCCGUCUUCGCGCUAUGUUAAAGUUACCCUGCAAGUGUGGACGCUGGUGCAUCACAAUUUUAGCGAAGAGGACCAGGUAAACAGUUGCUUAGGGACAGGGCCUCCAAAAGCAAAAGGUUGUUUGGAAAUUUUGAGAGCCAACAAGGCGACAGAGUCAUAAAUAAAGCAAUUCACAAUUUCUUUUGCUGAGAUGGAAGGAGAGGAGACUUCUUUUGUCUGUUUCAUACUAUAGCUACUUCACUGGAUAGCCAUAUCUGAUGUCACUACCGUCUCAUUCCACGCUACCGUUUACUAUGGAGUACUUGACAACAAUACAUGCUAGGUUGUAUUUGGAUUGCAUUUUUCUAGACUUUUUGUAGAAAAAUUAUUGUAACGAUUUGAUGUAUGUGAGGUAAAAAAAUGAUAGAAAAAUAUGUUCACAAAAAAUAUAACAAUUUUUUAACGAAAAAUAGCUGUCCAAACACAAUUGCCCGUUUCGGCAACUUUCAUUCUUUCCCCUAUAAUACUUACUACUGAGUACUAUUUUGCUCGUGAAUUUCAUUUUACAUACCAACUCUUCUUUUUUCGUUUCACAUGUGAUUCGGUCAUGAGCAAAGUGGAGUACAUUUCAACUCCAUCCCACCAACAAAGCAGCUUUUCUCUUUUUAUUUUAAAUAAAUAAAGUGAUUAAUAUAUAAAUAAUCUCCUAAUAAAUUCCUCUCAUCUAAUUGACUCGGAUGAAUAAGUUGUGUUCUACUUUAAGCCAAAUGAAAACUUAAACAAAUAUAAUCAACUAACUCUAACGUAGUUGACCACCACAUGUCUUUGUGGGUAAGAGGUCAAGAUUUCAAACAUUAUCCUUCAUCAAAAGUUAUUACUUAAUGUGGAUUCUUUUAGAUUCAUAUAGGUGUUUCUUGCAUCCGCGUGGUCCAAUGAUGAUUUAGUUUCAAUCGAUUCUCCGUGAUUCUAUUGGAUUACCCUCCUAGAAUACACUAGAGUAUGAGUAAGUGUAGAUGACGAUAAUGGAUAAAAAAAAGAAAAUUUAAACAAAUAUUAGCACUACUAAGUUAAUCCAAGGAACACUUGCUGCAAUUCCGAUAAAGAGCACCGGUAAAUGUCACCCUCGCUUUUUCUUAAAAGUAUCAAAGCGCAAAUUCGGUGGCUGAGGGAGCACUACUGUCUACUGGCUGAAGAUUUUGAUACAGGGGGCCGGCCGGAGGAUGGGGUUGGAAUAGAAGUUACUAACACAUACUAUUAUUGCUCUAUGUUUGUCUUAUCAGAGAGAUUACUGUUUUCUAGAUCUUCUUAAUAAGGUAAAUAAUGACAAUGAUCUCCUACAAAAAAAAAGGCAGUGAUCAGCAAUUUACUGUGCAAAAAUUAAAUUAUGGAGGUUCCUUUUGUGUUUACGACCAGCUAGUACGUGAACGUGAUGAUGAUGUGCACUUAGAAAUGAAUAGGCUGGGAGAUUAACCACCACCACCGUCACUAAUCACUAUGCAUCUCGUUCGUUCUGUGAAAGGGAUAGGUAUUUAUUUGGUAGAGUUUGCCACUUUAAGAGAGAGAGAAUGGGGAGAUGAUGAUGAUGAUAAGAACUGAAGCCAGCUUUUCCGUAGGAUUGAUUGAAAGCAAGAAAAUGAUACAGCCAGUGAAGUCUACAUGCAAUGAUCAACAUCAUCCAUCAACGGAAAUGGGGCAGGAACCUUAAGGUUCUCGGCCAUGAUGUGGCCUCAGAAUUUUGUGCGGCUCAUAUUACAGCAUGUAACUGGAUUUUCACUCUCUUUUUAUCUGUCUUUUUAUCUACAGCAUGUGGCCUCCAUCAACUCUCUUUUUAUCUCCAUCUGUGUAACUCCGUCGUCAACUAAUGAAAUAGAUGGGGAGAAAUUCUACAUUUGUUCAUUUGUUUACUAGUUCUUUGAACAUCUCAAUAAUGGAUGAAUUAAGUAAUACAAGCAUUAAGGAAAUUUUGAAUUAGGAUUUGUCAAAGUAUCAAAUGGUGCCUAUUAUGUUGAUUUUAGGUGACGAGACAGAUAAUUUUAGAAGUUCUCUUGCUGUGAUGUGAAUCCCAGAAUUUUUUUUGUCUCAAAGAUAACAUUUGUAUAAUCUAACCUAACCUAAUUUAAGGAGAAGUUCUCUUGUUGUAAUGUAAAUUCCAGAAAUUUUUUUUUUAUCGCAACGAUAACAUUUGUAUAAUUUACUCUAAGGGAGGGGGAAUCGACGGAAUUUUCUAUCGAAGAAAGCUACAGUUAAGGGACAGCCACAAUUAAGUGGCAAGCUGGGAGACAACUGUGUGAAUCUCAUAAUCCUAUGUGUCAAAGCGUCAACUGUCAACUAACCUUUGUAUGUUUAUCCCUUAAUGACGUCUUCCAACCUUACUCAAAAAAGAGAGAGAGAGAGAGAGAGACUACCAGAAGUCUCUUCCUUUAAAAUUACUAGGAGAAAAAUAAACAUGGAGCGAAAUUUCAAAAAUAGCCACCGUAUUAAGUACGCUACGUCCUUUAUACCCUAUUGGUGAUUCCUAACUUUAAGGAACUCGUAUGGUAUAUAUUACUAAUGAUGAUUAUGCAAGUCAUCGUCUUUGACCGCAGAGCAGAGAUUGAGUCUGAACUCGUUCCCUGCAGCAUCUCACCAACUACCAAUGGAUUAUCUAAUUGAAUUUCCUGAAAUGAUUGAACGGCAACUACAAUACCAUGGAAAAGAAAUAAUUUUUUUUUAUCUGCGUAUUAUUUGAAAUCAAAUUUAGGAACAUGAGUUCAGACUGUAUCUAAUUAGAUUUUCUGGACUAAUUUUUCGUCUUUAUCAUUCCUAUUAAUUGGUUGUACUUUCCCAAAGACAUGUGGAAAAACAUUUUUUUUAAACUAUCCACAAAUUAGAGCAGCCACCCGAGUUCAAGGGAUUUCAAAUCCUCUGUCCUCAAAGUAAUCUCUUUUCCCUCUGUCUCUUAUUUGUACAGCUGCCAUGUGUCUCUAGAGGUUGAAAUAAUGAACAAUAUAGCCCUCUCUUUUUUUAUUUUCUUUUCAAAAAGUAUACACUAACUUUUGUCCCAGCUGAAGAUUAAUGCAUUAUGUAAAUGUUUUCCUAGAAAUAUGAGAAACGUUUCAAGUGUCGUAUUUAUGAUGAAUAUUGCGGAUUGCUUAUUAUUGAAUUCCAUGCAUAUUCCCUUUCCAAAUUUAUACACUUGUAAAACUGCAGCCUCACUCUCGGUUAUACAUUUUUCAAUUUUGUGUAAAUGAUGCUAUAGCAUAUAUUAGAUGGUGAAAGAUCUCGCAAUUCACGAAGAAGCUGGUAUAAAAGUCAAAGGAAUAAUGGCCAAAUUUGUAAACUGAUUAUUAUUGAUUUAUUUGAGUUUAGAUUAACAAAAAAUAAGAGACACGUGAUAACUGUAUAAAUAAGGGACAGAGGAGACAGAGGAUUUGAAGCCAGUUCAAGGUGCCUAACACUUAAACCAAGUGCACUCGCGAUUGUACGGUGUUUUUUGAACUUCCAUUCAAUCACGCAUGUAAUUGCAACUGCAUUUGUGCGCAGCCCCACUCCCCGCUCCUAAUUAGUACUGACUAGUCUAAAGACCCGUUCUAUGCACGGCAAUAAAGAAUGUUAUGAAAAUAAAUAAAUAGUUAUGAGAAUAUAUAAUACAUAAAAAUUUUAAUAAACAAUAGUUCAGCCUAUGAAAUGUUAAGCAAUUUUUAGCUACCUCUUCUUGCUUCUACCUGUACAAAUCCCAUCCCUUCGUCGCUGAAAAAAAUUUAAAACAAAAAACAAGUUUUAGCUACUAUCGUCUACACAGUACAAACAUGCAUUACAAAAAAAAUGAUAUAACACGUAAACCACGUCAUAUUAAUUGUAAUAGAUCUAAGACCAAAUUAUAUUUGCUAAAUGCCAAUUCAUUUCUCAGCCAUCAUGUCCAACAUUCAAAAAUUUCAAAUGGCCCAAAAAUUUCAAAAAUUUUUGGUAUUGAAAUUAAUAAUAAAUCAAAAAGAAAUGGCCCAGAAACACAACUAAAUUAUGAUAAUUUUACUACUCGAAAAAAUUCAUAAAUUCUAAAUAAAUUAUUUCAACAUUUUCUUUUCUAUCUUAUAAAUCUAAAUCUAUAAUAAAUUACUAUCAAAAGUAUCAUAUUAUAAUGAUAAAAUUAUUUUAUAACCAUUCAUCAAAUAGUAGGUAUGAACAUGAAAAAUUUGGCACCUUUACCUUAAAAUUAUACUAGAUAAUCUUAUAAUUAUAUAGAAAAAUAAAUUAAAACCCAUUACACAAGGGCAUUUUUGGAUAUUCAUUUAAAAAUUUGAUCAAAUCAAUAUUAUUUUAAAACUUUGUUAUUAAAACUAUCAAAUCAAGGAAGGUAAAAGUAAUUUUUCAAAUCUUAGAAGAGUUGAGUGAAAUUGUCAGGAACUUUGCCUCGCCUCCUCAGGGGAGGUUUCUGAAAUUUUCCCUAUUUUCUAACUACAUGACUUAAGUGCUUUCCGGGGAAUUUGGGGGUUAUUACACUCUUAGUAGCAGGGUUCUCUCCAGUGUAGUUUAUCCCACAUCGGGGUUGGGGGUUGGGUUAGUUGGGUAGAUAAGUCCCUAGAGACUCUCCAGAGUUGCCGGCUUUUGAGGGUUCUUCUGGGAUUAGGUUUAUCAAAUUCAACAAAAGUCAAUUUACUGGCGUUGAAAAAAAAGACUUAAGUGAUAUGUGAAGGAGAAUAAAAUCAAAUGAUGGGUUGGUGUAAUGACUAAAAUUUCAAGGAAACUACCAAUCAAAUGAUGGGUUGGUGUAAUGACUAAAAAUUUCAGGGAAACUUUUCAGGGAAACUAUCCAGGAAAGUAUCUGAAAAUUGUCAAAUCUUUUCACCGGGCCACCAAUCACAAUCAGUGAAAAGCCCAUGUACCAUGCCAUUCCCACGUAUACCCAACCAACCGUCCAAUUUAUGAUCGAUCAAUGGUCCUGAUUCAUAUUCUUUUUUUUUUUUUUUUUUUUUUUUUGUCGACGGAGUGGGGUGUCCGGGUCAAGUCCGUAAAGGCGGCCCGACUAAUCCCCACUCCGGCCCGGUCCAGCGCCCCAACCAGACCUAGCACGUUAAAUGCACGGCGAACUGAUGUUGCUGCGGAGGUUCGACCCCAGGACCUAACGGUCCCGAGGAGGAGGCGCCAACCACCAGCUCAUUCACGUGGGGGCCGUCCUGAUUCAUAUUCAACCAAGCCUGCUUAGCAACGACUGCCACCAUCCCCCGCCCUCACUCUUUCUCCCCCUUGUGCUCUCAAUUCUCACCUACCAAUUCUUGCAUCUAUACAUUUCGGAGGCCUUUUGCAACUACAGCCCUGGAACUUCCUGCCCACCGGCAUUAGCAGUUGUUCCUCUCGUAACACAAAGUAGUAGUAUACGAAGAGGUCGUUUUUGUCCUGCUGGAGUGGAUCACCCGAGCUGGAGAAGACCUCUGAUCCUAGGUGGUUGACUCAGACGAGGUCACCUGCUCAAAUUGUAAGAGGGACUAAAGUCCCCGGUGUAACUCCGAAGCUUAAGUUAGUUCGGUAUUUUAAAGAGCAAUAUGCUGGAGAGCAAUAUGGCUAAUGUUACCAGAAAUUUGGCCGUCCCCCUCUCAGUAGAAGUCUUGAGUAUUUAUAGAGGAUGGACAGGGGAGAGGGACUGCUUGCACAGGUCCCUAGAGAUCUGGCAGAGUCAGCGUAUCAAAGUGACUCAAUGGACUCUGCAGAAAGGUGCGCCGGGACAGCUGUGUCAGUCGGCGCGUGUCAGAGCAGCUUUGCCAGAAAUGUCAGAGGUAUCAGAGGUGUCAGAGGUCAUGUUUCACAACUCCGGUUGUCUGGUCACCAUAAUUGACUUCGGCUAAGUAAAGGAAAACCUUAGCCGAGGCUGUAAUUAAGCCGAAGUCCUAACGCGAUGGCGAACGGCCGAGGUGGUCAGAGCCUAAGAGACAUAGGGCGGGACCCCAGCUCUGCCGACCUGGAAAUACCCUCCUCACUAAGCCCCCCAAGCCUCGGGAAGGGCGAGGUCGCGGUACCCCGAAGUGGCUACUUCCCGGGGCUGAUAAGGGUGUAAGACACGGAGUGUUGGGACACGUCAUUACCGUGCGGAUGAGACUGAAUGAGGGGUGAAAGGACGGCUGUCAGCUAUAAUGAUAACUCCGUGGAUGGACGUGAAAUCAACGGUCAGAUGAACAGUCCUCAUUAAAUGAGGAGAGAGGUUGCGUCCUUACGGAUCCCAAAGGUUUUGCCCUUUCAUCUCCUCCCUGUUAGCCUAUAAAUAGGGGUCCCUUUUUACCAAUUUACUCUUCACCAGAAAUCAAGAAUCACCACAGAGCUCUAUUUCUUCGUCUUUUCACUUCGGCACACUUUCAAACCACAUCCUGAGUAAGUUCACUUCUUCUUCUUCUUCAUUUCUCCCUCUAGCAAUGGCUAGAACUGCCCGUACUCAUAGAGAGACAGUGAGGCCCGACUUCGCCGAAGCAGAAAGGCCUGAACCCUCCGAAGAGAGAACGGUUUCUGAGGCCGGGGAAGGGGGGCCGAAGCGUCUCAUCAGGCCGGGACACCCCAGGGAGAAAGCGAGGGAACCGAGGUCGAGGGGGAGGUCCUCUACAACGACGACCUCGGCGACGAAGUUCCAAGGGACGAGGGAGUGCAAGAGCCUACUACUCCUCCGAACCUGGAAGCAAUUGACUACGGCAUUGUUCCUCAAUUCGGCAGCGUAAUGACUGAAGCAAUGAUCAUCGAGGUGGUUCGUCAGUAUCCCUGGAGGAGGGACUACAGUAUUUAUACUCCUCAGACGAACCAGUCAGCCGAGCUCCCUCCACGAGGUAGAGUGGCCAUAUAUAUCGAUCAGUUGGAGGCAGGGCUAAGGAUUCCAACCACAAGGUUCCUCCGGGACUGCCUGAGAUAUUGGGGGGUGAGAAUCACUCAGCUCGUCCCCAACGCAAUCCGGGUCCUGGUCGGCUUCCAGAUGUUGUGCCGACAUCAAGAAAUAACUCCCACAGUCAACCUCUUCCGUCGUUGCUACUCGCUCAAGAAUAGUGGGACUGAGAAGGGGUGGUACUACUUCGGGAACAAAGUCCCGAAGUUGGUGGUAGAUGCACCUUCCUCCAUCAAAGAAUGGAAGAGGAACUUCAUUUUUGUCCCGGCUGGUGACUUCCCCAGGGGGUUCUGGUGGAGGCCGCCUACUCCGGUCAAAGAGACCUCUCCGGGUAAACUGGAGGAGGAUAACUUCAGAAAGCUGACGGGGUCGGGCCUCUGGAUCAAUUGUUGGGAUUUUCCGGAGUCAGUUCUUGUCGACGGCGGCAUCAGCCGAGCUCUUAUCAGCCCGGAUCGUCCGCCAUUCUAUUCUAAUAGGCUUGAAAAGCAUUGUACUUCCUUACUCCUUACUUCGUCUAUUUUUUUCCUUGAUUCUAACUAACUCUCCCUCUAUGCUUCGCAGUGAAGAAGGUUUCCGAUCUGAUUACCGCGGGGCCUUCCGGGGUCAGCAAGAGGCCGUCCAAGCGUAAAGACCAGGCCGAACCAUCCACUCGGCCGAAGAAGAAGACCACCUCGGCCCACACCACUACGGUGACGGCAAGCCGGGGGUCUCCCGUGAUAAUCACCGGGGAAGGCUCCCGCACUUCAUCGAUUCCUGCCGGGGUGGGUCGUACUUCGGCUAUACCCGUUGGGGUGCCGAUCAGGGGGAUAACAAUUGCCACUCCACCUCGGGGCAGAGGGACAACGGCAUUUCCCGUGGUCCCCGUGACGGGGUCCUCUCUCUUUAAUCUUCACAACGUCCCCUCACAAGAGGCCGGGGAGGAUAAAAGGCACUCCGGCGCGCAAUGGUGUCCGGAGUGGGAGCUCAACGUGAAUGACCGCUGUAAGGACCCCUUGGUCGCUCAGGAGCUUCUGGUCCACUCAGUCCUGCCCCGAGAUAAUACCUACGCCCGGAAGCUUUCCCCAGGCGAACUGAUGCAGAGUGCUUCCGUCUCCUGGGCAUCCACCACUGCUUUCCUCGCCGAACUGACCCAACGCUAUACAAAGUUGGUCGAAAACUAUCAACCUUCUGCCGAGCUCGAGAAGAAGGUUGCCGAGCUUGAAGAAAAACUGAAGGCGACCGAGCAGGAGCGCGACAAGGCCGAAGCAACGUGAGAACAGGCCGAGGCUACCAAGAACUCUUUGAUGACUGCCCUUGCCGAAGAAAAAGAUAGAAGGGCUCAGGAAGAAGAGUCAACCAAAGCGGCCAUCGAAGAAGCGGGGACCUCGGCGCUGGAAGCCUUCCGGAAAUCAGAGGGUUUCCUCAAGGAUCUCGGCGAGCUCACCUUGCCGAGCUUCAUGUUCGGAUACACUUCGGCAGUUCACGAUACGGCUCCCUUUCUCACUCCGGAUCAGCUGGAGUCCCUUCAUGACAAGGAACAUUUCAACGAGGAUGCCAAGGAACUAUUCGAUCGUAUGGCCGAAGGCAUCCGGACUGGAAGGGAUCUGACCGAGGUAAAGGAGGAGUUCAACAAAUGGCUAUCUGAAUUUGAUCUGGACGGGGCCGAACUCCAAGGUGACGACAUCGGCAGUGAUGGCGGAGGUGAUGGCGGAAGUGAUGGCGGAGCUGAGGCCACCGGAGAUAACCAGGAAGCCGAAGCACGGGGCGCGUAGAUAAUAGGCUGAUUUUUGCAAUAGGUUAGCCGAGGUCAUAGAUAACCUUGGCCAUUCGCUUGUAACUCUGAGCCGAGGCCACAUGUGACCUCGGCUUUUUGCUUUUCGUAUCUCAAUAUAACUGGUUUUUUGACUUGCAUUUUGUCUUCUUUUUUGGCUACUGCUUUGUCCCCUUAUUUUUCACUUAAGACAGAAUGAGAAUAAGUGAGAAAUAAUUUAAAGAGGUGAGAUAUAAAAACACGUACCCCUCACGGGUAAUACAACUUAAGGUUCUCAGCAUACCAGGUUCGGGGCACCCGCGAACCAUCUCGGUAAGCUAGUUUACAAUAUCCAUUUUGGCUGGACUCAAUAACUCGGUAGGGUCCCUCCCACUUGGGGUUGAGUUUUCCCUGGGGCUCAGCUCGGCUGACAGAGUUUUUCCGGAGCACAAGGUCUCCCGGACUAAAUCUUAAGUGUUUGACCCGAGCAUUGUAAUAGCCAGCUAGGAUAUUUUUGUAUGUCGCAACUUUGGCCGCGGCCAUAUCACGCUUCUCUUCGGCGAGAUCGAGGUCAACACGCCGCUCCUCUUCAUUGACUUCGGCAGCAUACGCAGCCAUUCGCGGGCUAGGUGUGAUGAAUUCAGCUGGAACGACGGCCUCGGACCCAUAAGUUAGGGAAAACGGCGUUUCUUGGGUCGCUGACCUCGGCGUAGUCCGGUAGGACCACAGCACGCUGGGGAGUUCUUCCAUCCACGAUGAUCCAGCCCGGUGGAGCCUGGUCUUGAGGCCAUGGAGGAGAGUUCGGUUGAAGUUUUCGGCUUGUCCAUUCGCCUGAGGGUGCCCUACCGAGGUGAAGUGUUGCUUGAUCCCCAAGUUCUCGCACCAUGCCUUGAAAGGGUUAUCAGCAAACUGCUUUCCAUUAUCCGAGAUCACAACUCGAGGUAAUCCGAAGCGGCAGACCACGUUUUUCCAGAAAAAUUUUUGGACAGCCAAUCCAGUGAUGCUUCUCAGGGGUUCAGCCUCGACCCAUUUAGUGAAAUAAUCUACCGCCACCACCACGUAGGCAUAGUUGCCUGGGACCCUAGGGAAUGGACCGAUUAUGUCGGUCCCCCAUUGUUCGAAGGGCCAUGGCGAGGUGAUGGGGAUCAUAAGAUUAGUCGGUUGGUGGUGCUCAGGGGCAUGGUGUUGACAAGAAGGACAACAGAGCACCAUGACCUGGGCGUCCACCUUCAUGGUGGGCCAAAAGUACCCAAGAAGCAAAGCUUUCUUCACCAGCAUCCUGAAGCCGACGUGGGCACCACAGAGUCCCUCAUGAAUGUCCUCAAGGAUCCUCUCGCCUUCUUCCGGGGUGAUACAUCGUAGCCAUGGGCCGAGGUAGGACCUCUUGUACAAGAGGCCCUGCCGGAGGGUGUACCGAGCUGCUUUUCGUUGAAGCUUCCGUGAUUCAGCUCGGUCUUCGGGGAGCUCACCCCGACUGAGAUAUCGAGUCAAGGGCCCCAGCCAUGUGUCCCCAGGGUAAACGGGGUACACGACCUCAGCUAAAUAUCCCGGCUCGGCUAGAACUUCUACGAGAACCGUCUUGUUCAGAUCGGAGAAAGAGGUGGAAGCAAGCCGGGAGAGGGCGUCAGCCCUUCGGUUUUGUGACCGCGGUAUUCUUUGGAUUUCAAAAGACUCGAAGUAUGUGGCCAGCUGGAGUACCUUGGAGAGGUAACGCUGCAUCACCUCUUCCCUGGCCUCGUAUUCGCCUAGUAUUUGGCACACGACGAGUUGGGAGUCGCUAUAGACCAUGAUAUGCGCGGCCCCGACCUUACGAGCUAUUUGCAGACCGGCAAUGACGGCUUCGUAUUCGGCUUCGUUGUUGGAAGCGGCAAAAUCGAACCUCAAGGCGUACGAGCAAAUUUCCCCUUGGGGAUCUUCAAGGAGCAAACCGGCUCCGCUACCCUCGCUAUUGGAUGAGCCAUCCACAUGCAAGGUCCAUCGCUGGGGCUCGGAGGUGGACGGGGUGACAGCCUGGGUGGUAGCCGGGAUGGUCUCACUCACUUCUUCAAAGGUAAGCUCGGCCAGAAAAUCUGCGAGAACCUGGGCUUUAAUUGCUGUGCGGGGCUCAUAAGAUAAGUCGUACUCUCCCAGCUCGAUGGCCCACUUGGUGAGGCUUCCAGAGGCCUCCGGUCGCGACAGGAUCUGCCGAAGUGGUUGAUCUGUCCGUAGACAGACGUGAUGAGCCAAGAAGUACGGCUUAAGCCUACGAGCUGCGUGAAUUAAGGCCAGCACAAGUUUCUCCGCCUGAGUGUACCUGGUCUCAGGACCUCGGAGGACUCGGCUGACAUAAUAAACGGGCGUUUGGACACCCUCCUCCCUUAUCAGUACGGCACUCACAGCUUCAGCUGCAGCGGAUAAGUACAAAAAUAACUUGUCCCCUGGGCGAGGUGAGGUGAGUGUUGGGAGGUGGUGGAGGUAAUCCUUUAACUGUUCAAACGCCUGUUGGCACUCUUCCGUCCAGGAAAAUUUGUCAGCUUUCUUGAGGACUUUGAAGAAUGGCAGUGCCUUGGAGGCUGACUGCGAUAAGAACCGAUUCAAGGCGGCCAGACGCCCUGUCAGUCUCUGGACGUCUCGGACACACCGUGGUGAGGACAUUUCUUGGAUGGCCCUCACCUUGUCUGGAUUUGCUUCAAUACCCCGCCUGGAGACGAGGUAGCCUAGGAACUUUCCCGAAGUGACCCCGAGGACACAUUUCUUGGGGUUCAACAUCAUUCGGGUCUCCCGAAGGACUUCCAGGACUUCCUUCAGGUCGGCAAGAAAUGCUGAAGUUGUCUGGCUUUUGAGGAGGAUGUCAUCCACAUAGGCCUCGACAGUUCGGCCGAUCUGAGAUUUAAAAGCUUGGUUGACCAAGCGUUGAUACGUGGCCCCGGCGUUCUUUAGUCCGAAAGGCAUGGUGGUGUAACAGUAUGUGCCUUUGUCCGUAUAGAAGGCGGUCUUUUCUUGAUCCUCCGAACUCAUCCCGAUCUGGUGGUACCCUUUAAAGGCGUCAAAAAAGCAGAGGACUUCAUAUCCCAUUGCCGAGUCCACCAAGGUGUCGACCUUAGGCAAUGGGUAACAAUCCUUGGGGCAAGCCUUGUUGAGGUCGGUGAAGUCGACGCACAUUCUCCAGGCCCCGGUGUCCUUCUUCACCAUGACCGGGUUGGAUAACCAGGUCGGAUAUUGGACCUCCCGGAUGAUCUUUGCGGGGAGGAGCUUAUCCACUUCUUCGCCAACAGCUCGGCUGCGUUCAGGGCCGAGGUGCCUUCGUUUUUGUUUGACCGGGCGGACCUGGGGAUCGACAUUCAGCUCAUGUAUCAUGAGGUGAUGUGGAACUCCUUGAACCUCCUCCGCGGCCCAGGUGAAGACGUCCCGGUACCUUCUUAGGAGGUCUACCAUACCUCUUUUAACAGGAUCGGGCAGUCGGGUACCAACGCGAACUGUCUGAUCAGGCUUCGUGGGGUCCAGAGGGAGUUCUUCCACCUCAUCCCCAGUUUCCAGCCUUGGGAUCUUCUCAGCUCGCUGAGGAUCAAUGCUAUCUAUCGAAAGGAUAUUUGACCUCUUCUCAGGCCUUGCCCCGGAGGUUGAUGGGAAGGUUGCUUGUAGAGUGGCGAGGUAACAUUCUCGGGCAGCGCAGACGUCGCUGCUGACUUCGGCCACUCCCGCUGGAGUAAGAAACUUGAAGCUUAAGUGAUAGGUGGAGUACACUGCCCGCAAAGCAUUGAGUGUAGGCCGGCCGAGGAGUAAGUUGUACGGGGAGUCACCCCCGCUGACGCCCUACAGUUACUGUCAGAGCCACCAUCCCUUCGGGGUGCACAAUGUGUCCCCCGAACCCAACAAGAGGAGUCCUUACCGGGGUCAUGCACUCCCUGGCCAGUUUAAGGCUUUCAAAGGUGCGGAGGUACAUGACGUCCACUGAACUUCCCGGGUCAAUGUAAACCUUUUUCACGAUGUAGUUAUUGGUGAGAAUUUCAAUCACCAAGGCUUCAUGACUGCUGGAGGCGGCCGGGACGGGGUCACUAGGCCCGUAAGUGAUCACUUCGGAUAGGCGAGAAUUGGCCUCGGCCUGGUCCGGGUUGGCUUGUCUGUAGGUCCUCUUCCGGGAGUUCUGGCUAUCUCCUCCCGUCGGACCGCCGGCAAUGGUGUUAAUGACUCCGGCAAUAUUUGGCCCAUAUCCCAGUCUUUGACCUGAGGAUCCAUCUCCGGGUGGCCUUUUCGGCUCCCUAGGAUCCUCGGGAGGUCGGCAACUGCUUCUUGACGUCCGCCUCUCAUCACGGCGUUGGUCACCCCGCUUAUCGCGUCGAUUCUCAUCACGCGAAUGACCUCCACUUCGGCGAAUGAACUGCUUGAGGUGGCCUUGUCGGAUGAGGUUCUCAAUCUCCUUUUUGAGAUCGUUGCAUUCCUCUGUUUCAUGUCCGAUGUCCCGGUGAUACAGACAGUAGAGGUUCGAGUUCCUCUUGUCUUUGCUGCCCCACAUUUUGGGAGGGGCCUUUCCGAGGUUGUUUUGUUCCAUUAUAGACAGCACGCGGGAUCGGGAGGUGUUCAGGGGAGUCAGUUCGGACUCUGGGAUGGGCGACUUCCCCUUAGAGAUCCUGUCGAACACACUACGACGAUCUCGGCCGGGACUCUGGAAGCCGCUUCCAGUCCCAGCUUCACCUCGGCCAAGCUCCUUCCCUUUUCGGGGGUCGGCCCUUGGGCGAGCAGCUUGGACUUCUUUCUUCAUGCGAUUGAGGUCCUCGGCCUGUAUGCCCUUUUCGACCUUCAACCACAGUUCGUGGAGUGUGCGGGAAUACUUCUUGUGGAUCCCCGUGUUGAACACUCCAGAUACAAGCCCAUGAGUGAAUGCAGCAAUAGUGACUUGCUCAUUGGGGUUAGGUAUUUGUACGCUUUCCUCAUGGAACCUCUGGACGUACGACCGAAGUGACUCCCCCGGGUUUUGCUGCAUAUUCAGCAGAUAAGCCGAUGUCCUGGUCGUAGGUCGGGAGGAGAUGAAUCGAUGGAGGAAUCUUUCCACCAGUUCCCCCAGGGUGGAGAUGCUCCUAGGUUCCAAUCCCCAGAACCAUUUUCGAGCAGUGCCCUGGAGGAACACUGGAAAAGCUCGGCAUAUGACUGGGUCAGGGAUGCAAUAUAAACGGAAAGCCGAGAUGAAGGCGUGGAUGUGAUCCUCGGGAUCACCUCGGCCGUCAUAAGAUGGUAUAGAGGGAAGCUUGAAGUUUGGAGGAAGCCUUUCCUCGUUAAUGUCAUCAGUGAAGGGCGGGGCCCUCAUAUAAUUCACCCCGGGUAUUCCCAGGGGCCGAGGUUCCUCCUCGGGUCGUCGGCCUAGGAGUCCUCGGGAAAAUGCCUUGGUCAUGGAAGCUACCUUAGAAGUGGCCUUAGAAAGUGCCCGCUUUGAGGCACUUCGGCUUAGGCGCCUUCCAUCAGAUUCUUCGUCAGAUGAACCUUCGGGAGACCCAUCUGAUUUUCUUUUAGAGGUCUCAGCCUUCUGCUUGCCUUGCCUCUUUAAAUAUCUCCCCAACUCCUCAAAGAUGUUGGGAUUCUCGGUUACAAACUCGGCCAUACGCGUUAUGGCCUCUUCGUUUGCGGGCUGAGUCCUUGGGGGCUCCUGCCCUUCUGAAAUAUCUUCCGGUUGGGCUGCAUUGCUUUGCUCAGCACCAAUGGUGAGAGCCCUCCUGCUCUUAGAACGCGUAGGCUUCAUAUUUUGGUAUUCUCGCGCUUCCCACAGACGGCGCCAAUUGAAGAGGUCGUUUUUGUCCUGCUGGAGUGGAUCACCCGAGCUGGAGAAGACCUCUGAUCCUAGGUGGUUGACUCAGACGAGGUCACCUGCUCAAAUUGUAAGAGGGACUAAAGUCCCCGGUGUAACUCCGAAGCUUAAGUUAGUUCGGUAUUUUAAAGAGCAAUAUGCUGGAGAGCAAUAUGGCUAAUGUUACCAGAAAUUUGGCCGUCCCCCUCUCAGUAGAAGUCUUGAGUAUUUAUAGAGGAUGGACAGGGGAGAGGGACUGCUUGCACAGGUCCCUAGAGAUCUGGCAGAGUCAGCGUAUCAAAGUGACUCAAUGGACUCUGCAGAAAGGUGCGCCGGGACAGCUGUGUCAGUCGGCGCGUGUCAGAGCAGCUUUGCCAGAAAUGUCAGAGGUAUCAGAGGUGUCAGAGGUCAUGUUUCACAACUCCGGUUGUCUGGUCACCAUAAUUGACUUCGGCUAAGUAAAGGAAAACCUUAGCCGAGGCUGUAAUUAAGCCGAAGUCCUAACGCGAUGGCGAACGGCCGAGGUGGUCGGAGCCUAAGAGACAUAGGGCGGGACCCCAGCUCUGCCGACCUGGAAAUACCCUCCUCAUAUACCAUUACUAGUUAGUAGUCACCACUGCUACUGCUUCAGUUCCUUUUAUCACUUGCUUUACAUGAAUUAAGUCGAUGCUCUUCCUUGAAUAACUAGCGAUUAGUUUCGUGGUGACCUAUCUAGCCAUUUUUCUGUUUGGGUGGCAUCAAUCCUGAACACAGAAAGCUGCAAGAUGGAACAUGGUCAUGACGAAGGCGUGAAAGUCUCGGAGUUUUGCUUGAAACCAGAUCCUCUGAACUGGGGAGUGGCAGCUGAGUCACUGAUGGGAAGUCAUUUGGACGAAGUGAAGGGCAUGGUAGCUGAGUUUAGGAAGCCGGUGGUAAAGCUCGGCGGUGAGAGCUUGACCGUUGCUCAGGUGGCCGCGAUUGCCGCCAAAGGUGAUCAGGGUGUGAAGGUGGAGCUGGCGGAGGACGCAAGGGCUGGGGUGAAGGCAAGCAGCGACUGGGUGAUGGAGAGUAUGAACAAAGGCACUGAUAGUUACGGAGUUACCACUGGGUUUGGUGCCACUUCACACAGGCGGACCAAUCAAGGCGGUGCCCUUCAGAAGGAGCUUACUAGGUAAAUUUUGCCUCUGAAUUUUUACCAUAAAUUAGCUUUAGCUUCACCCUUAAAUUUUGCCUCUGAAGUUUUACCACUUUCAAGAUUGCUGCACUGGCUGUUUUUCUUCCUUAAGUUUAGUUCUUCGUGAUGAUAGUAUGGGUCGAUCCCAGCAUCGUCAUUCUUUUUUUUUUUUUUUUUUUUUUUUUGGCGUUAAUGGUGGCCACAAUUUUACUGUGCUGGGAUUGGGCUUUUGCAUUUAACCUGGAUGAUAAACUACCUGUUUGAAUUGUUACUGAAAAACUCCACUAUUUCCCCCUAAACAAAAAAAUAAAUAAAAAAGAAGACUCUCAACCACCUUUAUAUUUCAUUUGCACUAUUUCCUUUCUAAUAAAUGUUGUCACAAUAAUUUUUUUCUAAAAAUACUCCAAAACAAACAAUCCUAACUGAGAUAGCCAAAGCAAGGUUUAAACUAGAAUUUUGUGAAUGAUUUUUUUUUUUUAAAAAAAGGAUUUUUUCUGUUCCGAACUCAUUUCGACAGAUUUAUUUAUUCUCGUUAGAAGUUUUCAUCAUUAAAUAAGUUUGAAGUUAGAAAAAAGACGCUUAAUUAUCUUCUAAUAAUAUAACCGGAAAAAUUAAGAAAUUAUUAUUUUAGCCUUUCACAAACCAAUAAAUCAAGAUAAUUAAAGCAGAACAAGGGAAAAAACAAUUCUCCUGCAUGCGUAUUUUCGCCUGCUCCAAUUCAUUUGACCUUGUUGGUAAAAAAUUAUGCAGAUACUUCUGAAAAGCAAAAUUCGUUGCCAACCUACCGCCAGUGCAUGCGUGCACUCAAUAAGAAGAACAUAUACUACAGAUGAGCACCCAUAUCACUAUGAGGAAUUGUCAUUAUCUAAUCUUGAUAUUUUGAUUUUUGGCUCCACAGACAUUUCUGUCUUUGGAAGAAGAAAAAAAAAAGAUAAAGAAAAAGCGGAGAAGUGGAAGAUUAUGUAUGUAUUAGGAGGCAUAUUGGAAGCCCACAAAAAAAAAAAUUCAAAAGCAAAAUUGAUGAAAUUAACAAAGGCUACUACAAUAUUUUACCUUUUCACUUGUCCCUAUUUGUCUUAUUUACUACAGUCUAUGGUUGCCCGUUGAUCCAUCCGAAACAAAUGGAAAUUAAAAAACGAACGAAUCUGUAGAGUCGGGUGCAGGGGAAUAGAAAGGAGAAUGAUCCUGACAUGCAUGGAUUAUUGUGUAAAUUGACAGAUUUCUGAACGCGGGAAUCUUCGGAAACUGCACGGAAACUUGCCACACUCAGCAACAAGGGCAGCGAUGCUUGUAAGAAUCAACACCCUUCUUCAAGGUUAUUCCGGGAUCAGAUUCGAAAUCUUGGAAGCCAUCACCACUUUCCUUAACCACAACAUCACCCCAUGCUUGCCUCUUCGCGGUACAAUCACUGCCUCUGGUGAUCUUGUCCCCUUGUCCUACAUUGCCGGUUUACUAACCGGCCGCCCCAACUCCAAGGCCGUUGGACCCAACGGAGAAGCUCUAAACGCCGAAGAAGCAUUUCGCCUUGCUGGCCUCAGCGGUGGCUUUUUCGAGCUGCAGCCUAAAGAAGGCCUUGCUCUUGUUAACGGAACAGCAGUUGGUUCUGGCUUGGCCUCUAUUGUUCUAUUUGAAGCUAACGUGCUUGCUGUCUUAUCUGUAGUGCUGUCAGCAAUCUUUGCUGAAGUGAUGAAUGGCAAGCCCGAGUUCACCGAUCAUUUGACGCAUAAGUUGAAGCACCAUCCCGGCCAAAUUGAGGCCGCGGCUAUCAUGGAACAUAUCUUGGAUGGAAGCUCUUACGUCAAGGCUGCUCAAAAGUUGCAUGAGUUGGAUCCCCUGCAAAAGCCAAAGCUGGCCCGAUACGCUCUCAGGACAUCUCCGCAGUGGCUGGGUCCACAAAUCGAAGUUAUUCGCGCAGCAACAAAAAUGAUUGAGAGGGAGAUCAAUUCAGUUAAUGAUAACCCUCUCAUUGAUGUGUCCAGGAACAAGGCCUUACAUGGCGGCAACUUCCAGGGCACCCCCAUUGGAGUGAGCAUGGACAACGCUCGACUGGCCAUUGCAUCUAUCGGCAAACUGAUGUUUGCUCAAUUUUCCGAGCUUGUUAAUGAUUACUACAACAAUGGGUUGCCGUCCAAUCUCUCUGGAGGAAGGAAUCCAAGUUUGGACUAUGGAUUCAAGGGAGCUGAGAUUGCUAUGGCUGCAUACUGUUCUGAACUCCAGUAUUUGGGCAAUCCAGUGACCAACCAUGUCCAGAGUGCCGAGCAACACAACCAAGACGUCAACUCCUUGGGAUUAAUCUCUUCAAGAAAAACUGCAGAAGCCAUUGAUAUCUUGAAGCUCAUGUCAUCCACUUAUUUGGUGGCUCUUUGUCAAGCAAUCGAUUUGAGGUUUUUGGAAGAAAACUUGAAAAAUGCUGUUAAGAAUAUUGUCAGCCAAGUGGCAAAGCGAACUCUGACAAUUGGCGCUAAUGGAGAACUGCAUCCUUCACGGUUUUGUGACAAGGAUUUGCUCAGAGUGGUGGACCGCGAAUACGCCUUUGCCUAUGUGGACGACCCUUGCAGCGCUACCUAUCCAUUAAUGCAAAAGUUAAGGCAAGUGCUCGUGGAUCAUGCGUUGAAGAAUGGUGAUCAGGAGAAGAACGUCAACACCUCCAUCUUCCAAAAGAUUGCAGCAUUUGAAGAUGAACUGAAGGCUGUCCUACCAAAAGAAGUGGAGAGUGCCA